UACGAAGGGGGCUAGCGUUGCUCGGAAUCACUGGGCGUAAAGCGCACGUAGGCGGACUCUUAAGUCGGUGGUGAAAUCCUGGAGCUCAACUCCAGAACUGCCUUCGAUACUGAGAGUCUCGAGUCCGGGAGAGGUGAGCGGAACUGCGAGUGUAGAGGUGAAAUUCGUAGAUAUUCGCAAGAACACCAGUGGCGAAGGCGGCUCACUGGCCCGGUACUGACGCUGAGGUGCGAAAGCAUGGGUAGCGAACAGG
This 253-nucleotide ribosomal RNA is filed under the name uncultured bacterium. RNAcentral's name for it is "partial 16S ribosomal RNA". It matches the Rfam family "Bacterial small subunit ribosomal RNA", at positions 524 to 776 of the family's 1533-position model. The record is from RNAcentral.